UCCCUGGUGGCCUAGUGGGUUAAGGACCCAGCAUUGUCACUGCUAUGUCGCAGGUUCAAUCCCUGGCCUAGGAA
This 74-nucleotide transfer RNA is filed under the name Sus scrofa (pig). It matches the Rfam family "tRNA". Rfam says of the family: Transfer RNA (tRNA) molecules are approximately 80 nucleotides in length. Their secondary structure includes four short double-helical elements and three loops (D, anti-codon, and T loops). Lineage: Eukaryota; Metazoa; Chordata; Mammalia; Artiodactyla; Suidae. The record is from Rfam by way of RNAcentral.